Molecule: RNase P RNA, 348 nt
Filed under: Oscillospiraceae bacterium
Lineage: Bacteria; Bacillati; Bacillota; Clostridia; Eubacteriales; Oscillospiraceae
Description: RNase P RNA component class A
Rfam family: Bacterial RNase P class A
About the family: Ribonuclease P (RNase P) is a ubiquitous endoribonuclease, found in archaea, bacteria and eukarya as well as chloroplasts and mitochondria.
Source: RNAcentral
UGAGUAAUCCAAAUAGUCGCAGAUGCAAUCCGAAAGGAUGUAUAUGAGGAAAGUCCGGGCAUCAUAGGGCAGGGUGCCGGGUAGCUCCCGGUGGAGGCGACUCUAAGGAAAGUGCAACAGAAAAGAACCGCCGUAUUUUUACGGUAAGGAUGAAAAGGCGAGGUAAGAGCUCACCAUGGGUUGGGAAAUCAACCUGAUGUGUAAACCCCAUCUGAUGCAACACCGUGUAAAGAAAGAAAUAUAUUUGCCCGAUAUCUUUCGAUAGAGGUGGCUUGAACCGCAUAGAGAUGUGCGGUCUAGAUAGAUGACUAUUUAAAACAGAACCCGGCUUACAGGAUUACUCAUUUU